CCAUACGGGUUGAAGCAUGACCGUAAGGACAUGUGGACAGUAUGGGAGUGAGAAUGUUGGCAUGAGUAGCGAGAUGUGGGUGAGAAUCCCACAGGCCGUAAACCCAAGGUUUCCAGGGGAAGGUUCGGCCGCCCUGGGUUAGUCGGGACCUAAGCUGAGGCCGAAAGGCGUAGGUGAUGGACAACAGGUUGAUAUUCCUGUACUACCGAUAACCGUUUGAGAGA
RNAcentral lists this ribosomal RNA (224 nucleotides) under Clostridioides difficile. Its description in RNAcentral is "partial 23S ribosomal RNA". It matches the Rfam family "Bacterial large subunit ribosomal RNA", at positions 1241 to 1465 of the family's 2925-position model. The record is from RNAcentral. Lineage: Bacteria; Bacillati; Bacillota; Clostridia; Peptostreptococcales; Peptostreptococcaceae.